Lathyrus oleraceus (garden pea) is the source of this 1431-nucleotide long non-coding RNA. RefSeq lists it as uncharacterized. The record is from RefSeq and is a predicted model, not a curated record. The transcript is spliced from 3 exons. Lineage: Eukaryota; Viridiplantae; Streptophyta; Magnoliopsida; Fabales; Fabaceae.
GAGCAUAGCGGCGGGCCUAAGACCCAUUCCCUUCCAUCCACGGAACCACGCCACAAAUUCACGUUAUCACAUUCCUGAAUUCACCGCUCAAAAUUUCAUCUCAUCUGAGCGCUUCCUUCCGCCGCGCCGGAAAUCAACACCGGCGGCGGCGGAAACCUAAACUACCGAAAUCUUGCACCAGAUCCUCCGUCUCCAUAACCUCGACCUGAAUUCCUCACUUAAUUCAACCGAAUCUCACGCGAUCGACCUAACCCGAGCAUUCCACUCACGAACCCUAAAUGCAACAACUCGAAUCAAACUCUCUGAACACAGAAUCUAAGCUCAACCGAUUGGGGAUUCGAUAUCCCAAGCUUCUAACUACUUCGUGGCACCAAGUUUAACGAGAAACAAUAUAAAGAUACACCUACCUGCUGGAGAAGACGGAGUCACCAGCGGAAUCUCGGUUUGGCUUGGUUUUAUAUGGAAGCAGAGUUUCAGAUUGCUUUGAUCUAUCCUAUUGAAAUUAUGUAGGUGAAACUUGCUGAAUGCAAGCGGGAUCUCGUUUGUGGAUCAAAAUCCGUCAUGGUCGCAACAAUUAUCAUCUUAAUUUCUCCAUCAACAACAUCACUAGUUGUGGUCCUGCCAGCAUCACCAACUGUGUUAUCCCAUCAUUAUUCUUCGAAUGCCCUGAGAAGUAUCUGGCCAGUAGCACCAUUAGGGCAAUAACAACAACAGUGAGUCCAACAAUACCAAUGAAGGUGGCUAAACCAUUCAAGUGGACCUGCAGAGGUGUUUCUUCACCAUUAUCUUCUGAAAUGCUAGCCAUUAGAAGGCCCCAUUCAUUAUUAAUUCCCACCUGUUACCAGCAUAGUACCACUGCCAUCUGCAGCCUUGCAACCAGACGUAAAAAAAAGUGUGUUUGCUGCAGUUUGGCAGGCUCUAUGUGUAUGGUUGAUGCAAGGCGGCUUCAUGAGCAAGAUGUUGUUGUUUGUGCAGCAGGUUUGAUGAAUGCUGCUGCAAUGUGUUCGCCAUCAUCUUGAUGUUAUUGUUGGUGAUUUGAUGAUGAGCCAAAACUGCAGCAUGAGGGCUCAUGGAAGAGCGUAGUUUGCAGGGUCGUGGGGUGACGCUCCAGGCAGGGAGAGACAUUUGGAACCCAGGUCAUGGUGACUUGAUGGAGGCUGGUGCAAGGCAAGCUGUAGGGCGCAUGAUUCUAGCAUGACCUAAUGAUGAUAUUUGGUGUUCUGAUGUAAAGCAUUGUUGUAGGAAAUAGGAAAACUGGCCAAGUAUAUGUGCUUGCAAGCGAUAUAAUGUAUUAAUGCAUCUUGUAUUUUAGGUUAAGGAAUGUCCAUGUAAUGCAUGAGAUUGUAUGUUUGGGCUGUAUGCACCAUGCUUGGUUUUGAUAGCAUAUUUGGCCUGAGGAAAUGAAAAAUGACUUGAGUAGAAACAUGGCAA